This 92-nucleotide transfer RNA is filed under the name Streptomyces gougerotii. RNAcentral's name for it is "tRNA-Gly". RNAcentral also lists the same sequence under 1 other name. Lineage: Bacteria; Bacillati; Actinomycetota; Actinomycetes; Kitasatosporales; Streptomycetaceae. The record is from RNAcentral.
AGGCGGCGGUGGCCGAGGACGGCGACGGCUCCUCCCGCGGGCGGGCACGGUGCCGGCGACGCUGCCCCUCGUACGGGCCGAGCCACCGCCUG